AGAGUUGAUCCUGGCUCAGGACGAACGCUGGCGGCGUGCCUAAUACAUGCAAGUCGAGCGAGCGGAACUAACAGAUUUACUUCGGUAAUGACGUUAGGAAAGCGAGCGGCGGAUGGGUGAGUAACACGUGGGGAACCUGCCCCAUAGUCUGGGAUACCACUUGGAAACAGGUGCUAAUACCGGAUAAGAAAGCAGAUCGCAUGAUCAGCUUUUAAAAGGCGGCGUAAGCUGUCGCUAUGGGAUGGCCCCGCGGUGCAUUAGCUAGUUGGUAAGGUAAAGGCUUACCAAGGCGAUGAUGCAUAGCCGAGUUGAGAGACUGAUCGGCCACAUUGGGACUGAGACACGGCCCAAACUCCUACGGGAGGCAGCAGUAGGGAAUCUUCCACAAUGGACGCAAGUCUGAUGGAGCAACGCCGCGUGAGUGAAGAAGGUUUCGGAUCGUAAAGCUCUGUUGUUGGUGAAGAAGGAUAGAGGUAGYAACUGGCCUUUAUUUGACGGUAAUCAACCAGAAAGUCACGGCUAACUACGUGCCAGCAGCCGCGGUAAUACGUAGGUGGCAAGCGUUGUCCGGAUUUAUUGGGCGUAAAGCGAGCGCAGGCGGAARAAUAAGUCUGAUGUGAAAGCCCUCGGCUUAACCGAGGAACUGCAUCGGAAACUGUUUUUCUUGAGUGCAGAAGAGGAGAGUGGAACUCCAUGUGUAGCGGUGGAAUGCGUAGAUAUAUGGAAGAACACCAGUGGCGAAGGCGGCUCUCUGGUCUGCAACUGACGCUGAGGCUCGAAAGCAUGGGUAGCGAACAGGAUUAGAUCCCCUGGAUGUCCUGCCGUAAACGAUGAGUGCUAAGUGUUGGGAGGUUUCCGCCUCUCAGUGCUGCAGCUAACGCAUUAAGCACUCCGCCUGGGGAGUACGACCGCAAGGUUGAAACUCAAAGGAAUUGACGGGGGCCCGCUCAAGCGGUAAUCACUCGUA
Molecule: ribosomal RNA, 967 nt
Filed under: uncultured Lactobacillus sp.
Lineage: Bacteria; Bacillati; Bacillota; Bacilli; Lactobacillales; Lactobacillaceae
Description: bacterial SSU rRNA
Rfam family: Bacterial small subunit ribosomal RNA
Source: RNAcentral